Molecule: ribosomal RNA, 2398 nt
Filed under: Escherichia coli
Lineage: Bacteria; Pseudomonadati; Pseudomonadota; Gammaproteobacteria; Enterobacterales; Enterobacteriaceae
Description: partial 23S ribosomal RNA
Rfam family: Bacterial large subunit ribosomal RNA
Source: RNAcentral
ACAAGCAGUGGGAGCACAGAGCAAUCUGUGUGACUGCGUACCUUUUGUAUAAUGGGUCAGCGACUUAUAUUCUGUAGCAAGGUUAACCGAAUAGGGGAGCCGAAGGGAAACCGAGUCUUAACCGGGCGUUAAGUUGCAGGGUAUAGACCCGAAACCCGGUGAUCUAGCCAUGGGCAGGUUGAAGGUUGGGUAACACUAACUGGAGGACCGAACCGACUAAUGUUGAAAAAUUAGCGGAUGACUUGUGGCUGGGGGUGAAAGGCCAAUCAAACCGGGAGAUAGCUGGUUCUCCCCGAAAGCUAUUUAGGUAGCGCCUCGUGAAUUCAUCUCCGGGGGUAGAGCACUGUUUCGGCAAGGGGGUCAUCCCGACUUACCAACCCGAUGCAAACUGCGAAUACCGGAGAAUGUUAUCACGGGAGACACACGGCGGGUGCUAACGUCCGUCGUGAAGAGGGAAACAACCCAGACCGCCAGCUAAGGUCCCAAAGUCAUGGUUAAGUGGGAAACGAUGUGGGAAGGCCCAGACAGCCAGGAUGUUGGCUUAGAAGCAGCCAUCAUUUAAAGAAAGCGUAAUAGCUCACUGGUCGAGUCGGCCUGCGCGGAAGAUGUAACGGGGCUAAACCAUGCACCGAAGCUGCGGCAGCGACACUGUGUGUUGUUGGGUAGGGGAGCGUUCUGUAAGCCUGUGAAGGUGUGCUGUGAGGCAUGCUGGAGGUAUCAGAAGUGCGAAUGCUGACAUAAGUAACGAUAAAGCGGGUGAAAAGCCCGCUCGCCGGAAGACCAAGGGUUCCUGUCCAACGUUAAUCGGGGCAGGGUGAGUCGACCCCUAAGGCGAGGCCGAAAGGCGUAGUCGAUGGGAAACAGGUUAAUAUUCCUGUACUUGGUGUUACUGCGAAGGGGGGACGGAGAAGGCUAUGUUGGCCGGGCGACGGUUGUCCCGGUUUAAGCGUGUAGGCUGGUUUUCCAGGCAAAUCCGGAAAAUCAAGGCUGAGGCGUGAUGACGAGGCACUACGGUGCUGAAGCAACAAAUGCCCUGCUUCCAGGAAAAGCCUCUAAGCAUCAGGUAACAUCAAAUCGUACCCCAAACCGACACAGGUGGUCAGGUAGAGAAUACCAAGGCGCUUGAGAGAACUCGGGUGAAGGAACUAGGCAAAAUGGUGCCGUAACUUCGGGAGAAGGCACGCUGAUAUGUAGGUGAAGUCCCUCGCGGAUGGAGCUGAAAUCAGUCGAAGAUACCAGCUGGCUGCAACUGUUUAUUAAAAACACAGCACUGUGCAAACACGAAAGUGGACGUAUACGGUGUGACGCCUGCCCGGUGCCGGAAGGUUAAUUGAUGGGGUCAGCGCAAGCGAAGCUCUUGAUCGAAGCCCCGGUAAACGGCGGCCGUAACUAUAACGGUCCUAAGGUAGCGAAAUUCCUUGUCGGGUAAGUUCCGACCUGCACGAAUGGCGUAAUGAUGGCCAGGCUGUCUCCACCCGAGACUCAGUGAAAUUGAACUCGCUGUGAAGAUGCAGUGUACCCGCGGCAAGACGGAAAGACCCCGUGAACCUUUACUAUAGCUUGACACUGAACAUUGAGCCUUGAUGUGUAGGAUAGGUGGGAGGCUUUGAAGUGUGGACGCCAGUCUGCAUGGAGCCGACCUUGAAAUACCACCCUUUAAUGUUUGAUGUUCUAACGUGGACCCGUGAUCCGGGUUGCGGACAGUGUCUGGUGGGUAGUUUGACUGGGGCGGUCUCCUCCUAAAGAGUAACGGAGGAGCACGAAGGUUGGCUAAUCCUGGUCGGACAUCAGGAGGUUAGUGCAAUGGCAUAAGCCAGCUUGACUGCGAGCGUGACGGCGCGAGCAGGUGCGAAAGCAGGUCAUAGUGAUCCGGUGGUUCUGAAUGGAAGGGCCAUCGCUCAACGGAUAAAAGGUACUCCGGGGAUAACAGGCUGAUACCGCCCAAGAGUUCAUAUCGACGGCGGUGUUUGGCACCUCGAUGUCGGCUCAUCACAUCCUGGGGCUGAAGUAGGUCCCAAGGGUAUGGCUGUUCGCCAUUUAAAGUGGUACGCGAGCUGGGUUUAGAACGUCGUGAGACAGUUCGGUCCCUAUCUGCCGUGGGCGCUGGAGAACUGAGGGGGGCUGCUCCUAGUACGAGAGGACCGGAGUGGACGCAUCACUGGUGUUCGGGUUGUCAUGCCAAUGGCACUGCCCGGUAGCUAAAUGCGGAAGAGAUAAGUGCUGAAAGCAUCUAAGCACGAAACUUGCCCCGAGAUGAGUUCUCCCUGACCCUUUAAGGGUCCUGAAGGAACGUUGAAGACGACGACGUUGAUAGGCCGGGUGUGUAAGCGCAGCGAUGCGUUGAGCUAACCGGUACUAAUGAACCGUGAGGCUUAACCUUACAACGCCGAAGGUGUUU